AGAAAGCGCAGAUGAAGUCCUUUAUCGUGGAGCUCAGCAAAGAGUUCUCCGUCCUCUCCCAGUUCACCAGCUUUGUGGCCAUUGAGGAGAGGGAUGCACAGAAGACUGAUGAGGGCUUCACAUACAUCCCCAAACUGAUUGCAGAGGACGUGGACCUGCUGCCCUAUAUGGGCUGGGAAGAUGAAGAGUAGAGACUGAAGGAGGAAGAGGAGGAUCUUGGUUAUUUGUGCGAUGACGGCUCAUUGAGUUCUGUAGAGGAAGAUGUUCUAGUUGCUUUGCAGGGCUCUGUUUUUGAUGUGGAGGAAGAGUCUCAUUCCAUUCUGGGCUCUGGGCUUUUUAAUGCUGAAAAGAUUCACGGUGAUGCUCUGUACAUGGAUGAAUUUGCGGAUGAAUUCGUCCCCCUUUUCUGGGAUAAUUGAAACGUUUGAGGAGGACCUGGACGAACUGAUUUCUUUAGAGUCUAAGCUUGAUGUUGAUUUGAUGAAUUUAGGUACAGUAUGAUAGUGAAAACACACAACAGAAGAACAGAAAUUCUUUCAAAGCUGCUGAAGACUGUUUGUAAGCAGAUGUGAUCAUAGACGGUUUAUUAAUUCAGCAAUAUCCAAUCAUCAGUUUGGUCCAUGUCUACUCAGGAGCAUAUUUUCAUUUUUGUGACAACAAUUACAACAAUCACAACAAUUUAUACUUAUCAAGUUGUUACGUAACACAGCAUUUUAUUUAUUUUUUUGCUGUU
Long non-coding RNA from Alosa sapidissima (American shad), 733 nucleotides. RefSeq lists it as uncharacterized. The transcript is spliced from 5 exons. The record is from RefSeq and is a predicted model, not a curated record. Lineage: Eukaryota; Metazoa; Chordata; Actinopteri; Clupeiformes; Clupeidae.